RNAcentral lists this ribosomal RNA (468 nucleotides) under uncultured bacterium. RNAcentral describes it as "partial 16S ribosomal RNA". It matches the Rfam family "Bacterial small subunit ribosomal RNA", at positions 28 to 507 of the family's 1533-position model. The record is from RNAcentral.
GACGAACGCUGGCGGCGUGCUUAACACAUGCAAGUCGAACGGAAAGGCCCUGCUUUUGUGGGGUGCUCGAGUGGCGAACGGGUGAGUAACACGUGAGUAACCUGCCCUUGACUUUGGGAUAACUUCAGGAAACUGGGGCUAAUAUCGGAUAGGAGCUCUUGCUGCAUGGUGGGGGUUGGAAAGUUUCGGCGGUUGGGGAUGGACUCGCGGCUUAUCAGCUUGUUGGUGGGGUAGUGGCUUACCAAGGCUUUGACGGGUAGCCGGCCUGAGAGGGUGACCGGCCACCUUGGGACUGAGGUACGGCCCAGACUCCUACGGGAGGCAGCAGUGGGGAAUAUUGCACAGUGGGCGGAAGCCUGAUGCAGCAACGCCGCGUGCGGGAUGACGGCCUUCGGGUUGUAAACCGCUUUCGCCUGUGACGAAGCGUGAGUGACGGUAAUGAGUAAAGAAGCACCGGCUAACUACGUG